CGCGUAGGCGGCUUGGCAAGUCAGAUGUGAAAUCCCCGAGCUUAACUUGGGAAUUGCAUCUGAAACUGUUGAGCUUGAGUCCUGGAGGGGAUAGUGGAAUUCCCAGUGUAGCGGUGAAACGCGUAGAUAUUGGGAGGAACACCCGUGGCGAAGGCGGCUAUCUGGACAGUGACUGACGCUGAGGCGCGAAAGCUAGGGGAGCGAACG
RNAcentral lists this ribosomal RNA (207 nucleotides) under uncultured bacterium. RNAcentral describes it as "partial 16S ribosomal RNA". It matches the Rfam family "Bacterial small subunit ribosomal RNA", at positions 568 to 774 of the family's 1533-position model. The record is from RNAcentral.